UUUAAAAAGUUUUGGAUUCUUGUUUCUUAUCUGUAUUCCAGUGUCCAUGGAAGUCUAUUAUUUUUACCUAUCUCUAGAGAAGCUCUCAGUUACUUGCUUAUAUAGUUGAGACAUGCGUUAUGAGAUCUGCCCUCUGGCUAAGUGUCUUGCCUUGCCAACAAAGUGCCUUCAGUUUUACUUGUGAGUUGGAAAAAUUCCUCACAAGCUGGGGAACUCUUUAUAUCUUUCACCUGUCAUCUUUUGCAGUGAGUUCUUUAUUACAUUAAUCUUCCCACAGCAGUUCUGCAACCCGAGCGUAUUCCUGAGAGACUCCAGAUCUCAAUGACUGGUUUAGUCUACUUGUACAAACACUUAAUGAGAGCAAGAUACCCAUUUAUAAAUCAGGGGUGUCUUUAGCUUUUAUGUUUGAUUUACAUGUUAAAAAGAUUAUAUUUCAUCCCUAUAAUGAUGUACCUGCUGACUCUCUUUAUAUUUGUUGUUUAACAACAAAUAAUAAAAGGAAGACAUGAUAAGGUCAUCCUGCCAUGUGAUGGCACGAUUUUUUUUUUUCCAGCACAAUUUUGUUUUUAUCUAGAUUGUAGCCAAACCUUAAUUUACUGCCAGAUUUACCAUCUAGCCCAUGGUUUACCAUGGCCCUUUUAUUUUAGGCCCUUUCCCAUCUGCUGUAUGCCCAUUUCAUGCUUUAGAAGUAGUAUCAUCCAAAUGUGGUUUGUUAGAAGUCCCAUUACUUUCACUUGGGGAAGAUGUUCAAGUGAGAAAGAAUGUUAAAAUAUGUGUCUAGAAUUAGGUUUGAAGAUUUUUGUAAAAUUCAUCUGACUAGCCUAUAGUGGGUUUGGCUGGGCUUUAAAAAUGCUGCAGUCAUGCUAUGAAUGUGUUCUAUCAUGCUUAGAGACCUAAAAGCUGUUUUAACGGACCCUCACCUAAGCAAACUCAUUGAAUUUAUACCAGAAUGUCCGUUUACUUGCUUACAGUUUGGGAUAUACUUUUGUGGUGACUGUGAAUGUUCAUGCUGUCUCUCCACAUGUUCUAUCUAUCUUCUGCUGAAGAAAAAUGUGCUUUCCUAAUGAACUGAAAAGCUUCUGUCCCUCAGGCAAAGUUGCGCCCCUCCCUGACUAUUUCUGCAUUGAUAGAGUUCUGUCUCCCUGUACUGAACUCACCUUACUGCUCCUCGGUCCCGGAUUCUUGGUUUAAAUACCUAGUGUUUGUUUCAUUCACCUUAUAUCUGCAUCUUAGAAAUGUGGUAUAUACAUUAUAGUCCAAGCUAAGAGAAUUAGGGAAAUUUUUAAUUCCCCUUUUCCUCAGGUACACAGCUCAGAGUCCCCAUCCAGCAGACUAAAGUCUCUCUUCCCAAGCACACUACUCUGAUGCAUUUCUCGAUUCCUCCCUCCCCUUCCUCUUCUUUAUUAUCUGUAGCUCCUUUUACCUGCAGUCAGCUUUGGACACGCGUGCCUGCAUUGACAUGCAGAGUAGUGGAGAGAGACAGCAGGGUGUACUGGUUGAGAACACAUACUCUGGAAUCAGACUUCCUGGGUUUCCAUCCUGCCUCUUAUACUCCCCGCUGUGUGUUUUCUAACCUCUGUCUCUCGAUUUCCUUAACCAUAAAAGGCUAAUAGUAUGUACUUUACAAGGCAGUUGUGAGAAUUCGGUGAGACAGUAUCUGGAAAGUAGUUAGAGCCUGGCAGGAAAUGUUAGCCAUCACCUUCAUUACUGACUUUUGGGAAACACUUUUUCCCUUUACCUUCCCACUUUACUGUCUGCCUGUGAAUCAUUAAAAGUUUUUGGUUGUUUGUUUUAUUUAAAUUGUGUGAUAAGUAGUAAAGGAUGGAGCCCCUUGGCGGGCUACUGGUAGAAAGGUUUGAAAGCAAUUGUGCCCUAUGGUUUUAUCUCACAGACUUACUUACUCCCUGAUGGCUUGACUCUUUUAGAACGCUAACUUUCAACCUGUAAGACAUCUUCCCUUUAUUUUUUCUUAUUUUAGAGACAGAGACAGAGUGUGUGCACAUGUGUGCAAGCAGGGUAGGAGCAGAGGGAGAGAGAAUCCUAAGCAGGCUCCGUGCUGUCAGUGCGGAGCCUGACGUGAGGCUCGAUCUUAUGACUGUGAGAUCCUGAUCUGAGCUGAAAUCAAGUGUUGGACGCUUAACUGACCAAGCCACCCAGGCGCCCCAGAAGUCUUCCCUUUUUGUGCAUACUUCUUUUCCUUCUGUGAGCUUUAGAUAGAAAACCUAGCAUUUAGGCUUUUUACCAUGGGCUUUUUUUUUAAUACAUGAAAAUUCAUUUCAAAAUUCCUAUUUUAGUAAUACACCAUUUCUUUUGUACUUGGCUCUUUUUCCGACAGAUAUUCUACUGGAUCAUAAAAGUCAAAUUCAGAGGAUUUGUAUUUGCAAUACAUACCACCCCCAUCCUGUCAGUUGCCAGCUGUGUGGAUGUAGAUUUGGUGGCCAGACAAGGAGAGAGGAAAAUGUUUUCUAGGACUUUUUUUGCCUGAAGUGUACAGUUAUGUGCAUUCUAGCAUAGUGGUUCUUAACUCUCAUUUUCACCAGAAUACUUCGGGGAGCUUUUAAAAACUCCCAAGUGCCAGGGCACCACCUCACAGACUCAACUAAAGUUGGUGUGGGGUCCAAGCCCAGGCUUUGACGUAUGUUCUAAGUCCCCGGUUGUUGCCAAUGUGCAGCAGGUGCUGAGCACAACUAGAGUUUAGACCAGUUGAUUUUUACUCUUAACCUUUCAGGCCGAUCCUAAAGAAAUUAGGCAGUUUUUCCUCAUUUUUUUUUUAAAGUUUAUUUACUUAUUUUGAGAGAGAGAGAGAGAGAGAGAGAGGGAGGGGCAGAGGGAGAGAGAAUCCCAAGCAGGCUCCAUGCUGUCAGCGCAGAGCCCAACACAGGGCUCGAUCCCACGAGCUGUGAGAUCGCGACCUGAGUCAAAAUCAAGAGUCAGAUGCUUAACCGACUGAGCCACCCUGGCGCCCCCUCAUUUUUUUUUUAAAGGUACCGAUGAGAUGAGAAAGUUAAUAAUUUAGACUUAUCCACUUGGGGGCCUGGAAGGAUAUUAGAAAAUACCUAAUUGAACUCCCUGUUUUUUAUACAUGUGAGGAAACCAAGACCCAGAGAAGAUAGAUCCAAAACUGUUACUUAUGACUCAGGUCACAGUUUCUUUAUGUUAUUUUAUUUGUUACCUAUUCCCCAAAUUUUUCUUUUUCUUUUCUUUUUUCUUUUUCUUUUUCUUAAAAUUUUUCUUUUUCUUUUUCCUUUGGAGGAUGUGCUGGCCCCACACAUUCUUUCUUUGCCCGGCAAGAUGUGCAGCCACUGCUUAUUUAUGAUUUUUAAAUGCAACUGAAUGCUGAGGCAGCCUCUAGAACUGCUCUUCUGUUGAGUGCAGUUUUCUCCCUGUUUUCCUCACGUAUUAAUCAUAUUAUUCUCAUCUAGAACUGGUGGUUUUAGGGGUGCGUAGGUGGCUCAGUCCGUUAAGCGGCCGACUUGGCUCAGGUCAUGAUCUUGCGGUUUGCGAGUUUGAGCCCCGUGUCGGGCUCUGUGCUGGCAGCUCAGAGCCUGGAGCCUGCUUCGGAUUCUGUGUCUCCCUCUCUCUCUGCCCCUCCCCCGCUCACACUAUCUCUCUCUCUCUCUCUCUCUCUCUGUCUCAAAAAAAAUAAACAUCAAAAAGUUAAAAAAAAACUGGUGGUUUUAGCUUCUAGAUAAGAACUAUCUAAUAGAAUUGUCUGUGGUGUUGUGAAUGUUUUCUGUUUGGGCUGUGCACUGGUUGGUAGCCACCAGUGACAUGUGGCUAUUGAGCACUUACAGUGUGGCUAGUGAAACUCAGAAACUGAAUUAAAAAUAUUUUUGUGGUAAAAGGUAUUAACAUAAAAUUUGCCAUUUUGCCUUUUUCUUAUUGUGGUAAAAAACGCAUAACAUAAAAUUUACCAUCUUAACCAUUUUUAAAUACACAGUCCACUGGCACUAACUAUACUUACAAAGUUGUGCAGCCAUCACCACUAUCCUAUUUCCAAAACAUCUUCAUCACCCCAACGGAAACUGUACCCAUUGAACAAUAACCCCCAUUCUUCCUUCCCACAGCCUCUGGUUUCCUCUCUUCAACUUCCUCAAUUGGCUUAUUCUAGAUAUUUCAUAUAAGUGGAAUCACACAAUAUUUGUUCUUUUCCUUGAUUAUUUCCCUUAGCCAUAAUGUUUUCAAGGUUCUUCUGUGUUGCAGCAUGUUAUCAGGACUCCGUUCCGUUUUCUGUGUAUUCCCCUGUGUGUGUAUGCACUCACCUUUUCGUUGACACUUGGGUUAUUUCCACCUCUGGCAAUUGUGAAUAGUGCUGCAAUGAACAUUGGCAUAUAGCUCUCUGUUUGAGGCCCUGCUUUCAGUUCUUUUGGGUAUACAUAUCUAGGAGUGGAAUUGUUGGGUCCUGUGGUAAUUCUACGUUUACUUUUUUGACGAGCUAUCAAACUGUUUUCCACAGCAGCUGUACCAUUUUACAUGCCCACCAGUGAUGUAGGAGCUUUUCUCCGUGUCUUCACCAACACUUAUUCUUUUCUUCUUUUUUUAAAAAAAAAUUUUUUUUAAUGUUUUUAUUUAUUUUUGAGACAGGGAGAGACAGAGCAUGAGCAGGGGAGGGGCAGAGAGAGAGGGAGACACAGAAUCCAAAGCAGGCUCCAGGCUCUGAGGUGUCAGCACAGAGCCCAACGCGGGGCUCGAACUCACGGACUGUGAGAUCAUGACCUGAGCUGAAGUCGGACGUUUAACCGACUGAGCCACCCAGGCGCCCUCUUCUUUUUUUUUAAAUUAUAGCCAUCCUCAUAGGUAUGAAGUGGUAUCUCUUUGUGGUUUUAAUUUGUAUUUCCCUAAUGACUCAUAAUGUUGAGCAUCUUUUCCUGUGUUUAUUGGCCAUUUGUAUAUCUCCUAUGGAGGAAUGUCUGUUCAAGUUCUUCACCCAUCUUUUAAUUGGGUUGUCUUUUUGUUGUUGAGUUUUUAGUUCUUUGUAUAUUCUGGAUAUUAAACCUUUAUUAGAUAUGUGAUUUGCAAGUAUUUUCUCCCAUUCUGUGGGUAGUGUGUUCACUUUCUUGAUAAGGUCCUUUUUUAAAAAAAAAUUUUUUUUAAUGUUUAUUUUUGAGAAACAGAGAGAGACAGAGCAUGAGCGGGGGAGGCAGAGCAGGGAGAGAGGGAGACACAGAAUCCGAAGUAGGCUCCAGGCUCUGAGCUGUCAGCACAGAGCCCAAUGCAGGGCUCGAACCCACAAGCUGUGAGAUCAUGACCUGAGCCAAAGUCAGACGCUCAACAAACUGGAGCCACCGAGGCGCCCCUCUUGAUAAUGUCCUUUGAUGCACUGAAGUUUUGAUUCUGAUGACGUUCCAAUUCAUCUAUUUUUUCCUUAUGUUGCUCAUGUUAUAUCUAAGAAUGUAUUACCAAAUUCAAGGUUUGAAGAUUUACUGUGUUUUCUACUAAGAGUUGUAUGUGUUUCUCUCUCAUACCUAGGUCUUUGAUCCAUUUUGAGUACAUUUUUGUAUAUGAUGUCAGGUUUGAGGUCCAACUUGUUCUUUUGCAUAUGGAAACCCAGUUGUCCCAGAACCAUUUGUUGAAGAGACUAUCCUUUCCCCACUGAAUAGGCUUGGCAUUUCUGUCCAAGGCUAAUUCUAAUCCAUUUGUCUGUAUAUCUAUGCUUAUAUAACAGUACCACACUGUUUUGGUUCCUAUAGCUUAAUAGUAAGUUUUGAAUUCAGGAAGUAGGAGUCCUUCAACUUUGUUCUCACUGUUAAAUGGCUGGGGGUUUUUGUUUGUUUUUUGUUUUUUUGGCUUUUCAGGCUCUUUUGUAAUCCUAUAUGAAUUUGAAGAUGGGCUUUUCCAUUUCUGCAGGAAAGGCUGUUGGAAUUUUUUUUAAUAUGUAUUUUUAAUGUUUAUGUAUUUAUUUUGAGAGAAAGUGUGUGCACAUGCACAAGCAGGGGAGGGACCGAGAGAGGGAGAGAGAGAAUCCCAAGCAGGCUCCAGGCUGUCAGCACAGAGCCAGGCACCAGGCUCCAUCAGUCCUACAAACUGUGAUAUGACCUGAGCCAAAAUCAAGGUCGGAUGAGGCGCCUGGGUAGCAUCAGUUAAGCAUCUGACUUCGGCUUAAAGUCAUGAUCUCGUUGUGAUUUUAAUUUGUAUUUGCCUAAUGACCAGUAAUGUUGAACAUCUUUUCCUGUGUUUAUUGGCCAUUUGUAUAUCUUCUGUGGAGGAAUAUCUGUGUGCUUGGAGCUCAGAUCCUAGAGCCUGCUUCAGAUUCUGUGUCUCCCUCUUUCUGCCCCUCCCCUGCUCACUCCCUGUCUGUCUGUCUGUCUGUCUGUCUCUCUCUCUCAAAAAUAAGUAAAACAUAAAAAAACAGAGCUGGAUGCUUAACUGAGCCACCUAGGUACCCUGAAAGGCUGUUGGAAUUUUGAUAGCAAUUGCAUUGAAUUUUUAGAUCACUUUGGAUAAUAUUGACAUCUUAACAAUAUUAAGUCUUCCUAUCCAUGAACACGAGAUGUCUUUCCAUUUUUCAGUUCUUAAUGUCUUUCAGCAACGAUUUAUCAUUUUCAUUGGACAAAUCUUUCACCUUCAUGGCUAAAUUUAUUCCUAGGUAUUUUAUUCUUUUAGAUGCUAUUGGAAAUGGAAUUGCUUUCUUAAUUUCUUUUUCAGGUUGUUUAUUAUUGGUGUGAAGAAACAAAACUGAUUCUUGUUGACUUUGUGCACUGCGUCUUUACUCAAUUUGUUCAUUAGCUCUAGUAGGUUUCUUGCGGAUUCUUUGGUUUUUCUAUCUAUAGGAUCCUAUCAUCUGCAAAUAGAGAUGGUUUUAAUUCUUCCUUUCCAGUUGCUCUGGCUAGGACUUCCAGUAUAAUGUUGAAUAGCAGUGGUGAAGUGAGCAUCCUUGUUUUGUUCUUAUCUUAGAGGGAAGUUUUUCAGCCUUUCUCCGGUGACUAUGAUUUUAACCGUGUAUUUUUCAUAAAUGCUCUUUAUCAUGUCAAGGAAGUAUCUCUUCAGAGAAGUUCCUUUGGAUUCAUAGUUUUAUGAGUCUUAAAUCUGAAUUUCAAAUCUUAUUAGAUUUUAUUUAGAUUACAUUGAAAUUUAGUUAAUCUCAUGUGAUUACUGGUAUUGCAUUGGACAACGCAGUUUUAGAUCUCUAUAAGUCUUCUUCGUAUUCUACCUUUUUCUCAUUUUUUGUGAUGAGUCUCCUCCUUGAGAGAUGCUUUUAGUACUGGUUGUUAAUAAUCCUUGGAGUUCCCCUAAAGGUGUAAGAAAUACUAAUUUUUGUCUUAAAACUAUAUAUUGUUAGGUUUGGAGCUAUUCUCAUUUAUGACUUUGUAGAACACUUUUUCCAUCUAGCUCAAAAACAGGAUUAUUUUUUUAAAGAAUGAAGCCUUGCCUUAGAAAUCCAGUCAACUAGGUAUAUCAGGUGGACACAGCUGGUGAACUUCACAUUAGAAGAUAGUGAGGAUACAGAAUGUCCCUUCAGGCAUACUGCUAGCCUAUUUCAAAUGCCAUUGGUUUUGAGAAGAGUGGCCAGUUAGAAAAUGGUAUUACCAAUACUUAAUAGUCUAUAGCGUAAGGAAGAGAGAAAAUGAGUUUCAGAGCCCUGUUACACAUCAAAUACUGUUUCCUUUUCUGGAGACCACAGUGUUUGUUUGCUGUCAUUUUCCUUUCCUAAGUAAUCAAACGAAUUUCCUUCAUGUGUAAAACUUUUUUUCCUUCUUUCAUUAAAAAAAAUUUUUUAAUGUGUUUUUAUUUUUGAGAGAGAGAAACAGAGUGUAAGCAGGGGAGGGGCAGAGAGAGAGGGAGACACAGAAUCUGAAGCAGGCUCCAGGCUCCACACUGUCAGCACAGAGCCUGGUGCAGGGCUCGAACCCACAAACCGUGAGAUCAUGACCUGAGUUGAAGUCGAAUGCUUAACUGACUGAGCCACCCAGGUGCCCCUCCUUCUUUCAUCUUAAUAGAAGGGGUACCUUUAAGAUAUUAACCAGAGGCUAAUGGGGCUGUUGAGUUAUAAUCUACUUGCCAUUAGCUGCUGCCUUACUCCAUAUGAAUUUCCUUAGUGUAUUAAAUUUGCUCCUUAAUUCUACUUUAUUUUCUUUUGAUUUUUUUUUCAAACAUUUUAUGAAAUAUAAAAAAAACAAAGAAUAACAUAAUGAACACCUGUGUUCACAGCUCCCAGAUUAUGGGCUAAAACACGCCAGUAAAAAAUUUCUGAUGUACCCCUUGCUGUCACGUCUACCCCUCACUUGCAGUCACUAGUUUCAAAUAUUCUCUCAUUUUACUAUUUUUUUAAUUAAAAAAUAAUAAAUAAUCUCUACCCCCAGCAUGGGGCUGAAACUCACAAGCCCGAGAUCAAGGGUGGCAUGCUCCACUGACUGAGCCAGCCAGGUGCCCCUAUUCUCUCUCAUUUUAAAGCAGUUUCAUGGGGUGCCUGGGUAGCUUAGUUGGUUGAGCAUCUGACUCUUGAUUUUGGCUCAGAUCAUGAUCCCAGCGUUGUGGGAUCGAGCCCCUGUGUCGGCUCUGUGCUGAGCAUGGAACCUGGUUAAGAUUCUAUCUCUCUCGUCCUCUCCCUUCUCCCCAACUCACGUGCUCUCUCUCAAUCUCU
Molecule: long non-coding RNA, 8581 nt
Organism: Neofelis nebulosa (Clouded leopard)
Lineage: Eukaryota; Metazoa; Chordata; Mammalia; Carnivora; Felidae
Exons: 2
Source: RefSeq, a predicted model, not a curated record